Molecule: non-coding RNA, 264 nt
Organism: Paramuricea clavata
Lineage: Eukaryota; Metazoa; Cnidaria; Anthozoa; Malacalcyonacea; Plexauridae
Source: the annotation of a GenBank genome assembly
CUACCUUCUAUCUUUUUUCAUCCAAAUUAAAGGACUCAGCCGAACUCCCAAACGAGACUUUGGACGUGUUCUAACUUGAAAAGUUGUGGGAAUUCUGGUUGAACCACAAGGUUCUCCCAUUGAAACUCGAAUCAGUAUUUCACCCGGAUGCAUAUGCAUCACGCUUUCAACAGGUCUCCACUGACUGUAUAUAGCCUGUAAAAACUUAUUUCUAUACUUUGUUUGGUGUAAUUAUGUUAAUACAAUAUGUAUAUACUAGAUUAU